This 489-nucleotide long non-coding RNA is filed under the name Monodelphis domestica (gray short-tailed opossum). RNAcentral describes it as "lncRNA (ENSMODG00000036292.2)". Lineage: Eukaryota; Metazoa; Chordata; Mammalia; Didelphimorphia; Didelphidae. The record is from RNAcentral.
CAAUGUUCCCAAAGGAUAUUUAUGAAGUAACUAAGGGAGAAACAAAUAUAAGAAAAACAGAAAAGCAUGGGAAUAACUGGAGAUGAAGAAACAAUUAUGGAAAGGUCAACAAUUUUCCAGAUGUGGAUUGAAGACCCUAUAACAUCUCUGACACUCUUUAAAGAGGAACACAAUGUGAGAUGGAAGAAAAGGAUUCCAGUAGAUGAGAAGACUAAGGCUGAGACGAUAUUUCAUCUAUAAGUUCCUUUCUAUCUACUGACUUGUGUGUGUAGAAGAUACUUCAGCUGAGAAACUUGAUGAGGCAUGCAAAAACACCAGAACCCCAUUAAACAGGGAUAUAUGGAAGCUAAAUCUUCUUGUUUCUUUUGGACAGACUUUAUUUUUUUAAUUAAGUAGAUUUUACUUAUCUUUUGCAUUAUGUUAAUUUCUAAAUAAUCCUCCAGUCCCAGCCACAUUGUCACAAAGAAUAAAAACAAAGGGAAAAAAUCA